Long non-coding RNA from Gigantopelta aegis, 876 nucleotides. RefSeq lists it as uncharacterized. The transcript is spliced from 2 exons. The record is from RefSeq and is a predicted model, not a curated record. Lineage: Eukaryota; Metazoa; Mollusca; Gastropoda; Neomphalida; Peltospiridae.
AAAAGACAACCAGAUGAUGGGGAAGAGAAUAUUGAUAACAGAACUCAGAAGAGUAAAGUUGAGAAAAGUUAAAAUGAUAACCCUGCAUUCACCCAGCCAGAUUAAUCGUCAACGAAGGUCUGUUACUUGGAUACAUUAACAAUGGCUAAACAAUUUGAACUGCCUCUUCAAUAGGGUUUGCGAGUUUCGUAUGUAAACAAUUUCAUAAACAUGUAAAGAUUAAAACAACAUAGUUUAUAAGUUUUGUUGCCACAGUGUGUUAGCUCCGCUAUGACGUUUGCCAGUGAAACUUCACGUAUACUGAUUUGUCCGGCGACCGCUCGUCAACGUUUACUUUAAAGUCUGUCUUUUCCUUGAGUUUAAAAUUGAUUGCUCUAAAAAGUGGUAAAAAUUUUAUUCUGGGUCAAUCUGCACAGAAUAAUAAGGAUAUACUUGGAAAUUUGCCAUUUUGGAACUUGUUUUUACAUUUUUUAAAUUUAAAUAGACAUUUUCAAUACUUAAGCUUUCAAAGUAUUAUCUUAUUUUUGAGUUUUGAAUUGAUAUUUUUGAAACUCAGAACAAGCAUUCCCAGGGGCGUCUUCACAAACUAAUGGAGAGAUAUUUUCGAAAAUUUAAAAACAAAAAAAAAGAUUUGUUUUUUGUUGUUGUUGUUAUUGUUGUUGUUGUUGUUGUUGUUUUUUGUUGUUUUUUAAUUUUAUUAAAUUAAAAACAAAUAUAUUUGUCCAGAUUUGAAAGUCUAUUUUAGCUUUAGUUGUGAUUGGGUUAUUCUGAAACUUGGUGCAAGAAUCCUCUGGGGACGUCUACAAACUCUAAUAGAGAAACUUUAACUAAUUUUAUUUAUUUAUUUAUUAAAUAAUUGCAGGCGAGUGCGCAGGG